GAUGAACGCUGGCGGCGUGCCUAAUACAUGCAAGUCGAGCGGACAGAUGAGGAGCUUGCUCCUCUGACGUUAGCGGCGGACGGGUGAGUAACACGUGGAUAACCUACCUAUAAGACUGGGAUAACUUCGGGAAACCGGAGCUAAUACCGGAUAAUAUAUUGAACCGCAUGGUUCAAUAGUGAAAGACGGUUUUGCUGUCACUUAUAGAUGGAUCCGCGCCGCAUUAGCUAGUUGGUAAGGUAACGGCUUACCAAGGCAACGAUGCGUAGCCGACCUGAGAGGGUGAUCGGCCACACUGGAACUGAGACACGGUCCAGACUCCUACGGGAGGCAGCAGUAGGGAAUCUUCCGCAAUGGGCGAAAGCCUGACGGAGCAACGCCGCGUGAGUGAUGAAGGUCUUCGGAUCGUAAAACUCUGUUAUUAGGGAAGAACAAAUGUGUAAGUAACUAUGCACGUCUUGACGGUACCUAAUCAGAAAGCCACGGCUAACUACGU
This 496-nucleotide ribosomal RNA is filed under the name uncultured bacterium. RNAcentral's name for it is "partial 16S ribosomal RNA". It matches the Rfam family "Bacterial small subunit ribosomal RNA", at positions 28 to 506 of the family's 1533-position model. The record is from RNAcentral.